UUUUCCCCAAAAUUUAUUUCCAAGAACUAUGAUUUUAAUUUCUAAAUGAGAUAUCAUUUCAUCACAAUCCAUAAUCUAGUAAAUCAACAACGCAUAAACACAAGCAAUUAUUCAUCACCAACAGAGAUCAACCAAUAAUGUUCAAUGCAAUGCACCAAAUAUCAUCAAUAAUGAAAUAAAAAGAUGCAAAGAGUAGAAUUAGAUCUCAAUUUGAAUCUUUCAAACUCAAAUAUUAUUCGAAUGAAAAGAUGAAAUCUGCAUCCAAAGACCUCGAGUCAAAUCUCAAUAUAAACAAACCAAUCUCGAUAUACCCCUUUGCUAUUUUUCGUCCAAAAUAGAACCAAAAUCCAAAAAUAUUAAAGACCCACACGAAUGUCGUAUGUUACAGGUAUUUUUAGUUAUUUUAUGGUGGGUUUGGAUGCUGAAUUUAUUGUGUUUUGGGGAUGUUAGUCACCGAUGUAAAAAUUACCGAGUGAGAACUCCAGUGAGCUUCGCUGACAAGGUUGACGGUGAUAGGGAUGGUGAAGGAUAGGGAAAAUUUGGUCGGUAUUUUGUGGUUGUUGCUCAGUGGGUUUUGAUUUUGGGUCUGUGGUGACUGAAUCCAGCGAGGGAUGGAUGAUUCUGGCAAAUAAUUUGCCAAAAAAUUUGAAAUUCAUUAGUUUUUGUUCACUCCCUUUUCGACCAACCUUUUAUUUCUCUUAAUAUUCUCCUCUCUUUC
This 718-nucleotide long non-coding RNA is filed under the name Capsicum annuum. Its description in RNAcentral is "long non-coding RNA (CANN_LNC007837)". The record is from RNAcentral. Lineage: Eukaryota; Viridiplantae; Streptophyta; Magnoliopsida; Solanales; Solanaceae.